UUGUAAUGUGGGUGCCAAAGAAAAGGCUUAUAGGCUCAAAUGGGCUGUCUACAGAUAAUUUUAUAUAUGGUGGCAUAAUAACUCAAUGGACAAUCAAAGGAACGCCUACAUCAUCUCUUAGACUCACAAAGCUUACUUAUUUUACUUCAACUAACACACAUGUAAUAGAAACCUCACAUCACACAAUGCACAUGACCCCAGUCAGGAUGGUUCCAUUCCAACUCUCAAGUUUAGGCAAGUAAUCAAAAAGUCAAGAAGUAUUAAGCAAUAUAGAACUACAUGAACAAUGAGUCAAGUAACUGAGAGAAAGCAUCAAAGACAUGUUAUUCAAUCUUUCAUGGCAUCAAUUUUCAUUAAAACAUAUUGGGAAGAUAAUUUGCAUGCUAAGGCCUAACUAUGCUGGCACAAACAAGUCAAAAGGCACAUAAGAGCACUCAAGUUUUCUUCCCUCGAUUUUAUAAAAAAUUAAAAAAACAAAACUACCCGGUUCAAGUUAAAUCCCUUGGAAAAGAACCGAUGCCAAAAGAAAAACCAAGGGGGAUUAUUAUCUACCUACGACUCAAUAUAAAAAAAAUAUUUUUGUAUUUUUUUAUUGGACCUUAAUCCCUCAAGAAAGAUGUCCAAGAGAUCCAUCGUCAGGAAAAGUCCAAUUUUUUUAGUCAAACUAACACAACUAAAUUAUCAUAGAAAAUCACCCAGACAAUCUUCUCACCCCACACUUAAAAUUGUGCACUGUCCCCAAUACACACCAUAAAUAACAAGAAGGUGAAAGAAACUCCCUGAUAGGCCAAAGGCCGAAGCAUUAGCAGCUUAUGGGAUACUCAGACUUCUCCCAAGCCUGGUCCUUCGUGCGGAUACCUCACACUUAGUUCCAACCAUCUGGUUUGCUUUUGCAUCCUUCUAAUGGCUUUCCUUUCCAUGCUCCUACAAUAUUAAAAAAACUACAUUACAAAAAAAUAACACAACUAAACAGAAAGUAAACAAAUAAAAAAAGCAAUAAUGUUGGGUUGCCUCCCAACAAGCGUCUAAUUUAACGUCGCGACACGACGCAAAUUACUUUUUGACUCCGCCUCAAGAUUAUGAAUUGAACCCCAAGUUUUACUUCAAGCUUAUGAUUAUGCUCUUGGGGCGGUACAAAUUCUUGAGAGCCAAAAAAUAAAUAAAUUCUCAUGCACUUUUUGGCUUUCAACCGAGGAGUGUCACCUUGCCUAGACAGCCUUGGAAAUUUCAAAAUAUAAGGCUCAUCUACAUCUUCCUUUGACUCAUUUUUGUGCUCAUAUGAAUCAAUUCUCAUUUCACCAUCUAAACAUAAUGUAGAGAAGUGUUUGGAAUGAGGUGCAACACGCUCAAAUACAUGAACUUCAAUAUUUUCGACCUCCUCAACACCAAUCACACUAGAGUCAACUAAAUUUGUAUCUUCAAUAUCCUUUGCUGACUCUAGUAUUACUUCUUCAACAUCGACAUCUUCAAAUUCUAGUUAGAUAGAUUGUUGGUGUUCUACUCUGACCUCCUCCAUUUGCACUUCAAUUUCUGUAUCUAAUUCAUGCUCUUCUUGGCUAUUAUAUCCAAUAUUGGCUUGUUGAGCAUUAAAUGCUUCAUCCAAUUGACUCACUUGUGCCUCCAGGUUACAAAUAGUAGCAUCUUGCCUUUGUAUGUAUAGUUGUUUCUCAUCAUUUUAUUCCACAAGGCACCUUAGCAUAUCCUUGAUUUCUUUCAUAUUAUCAUCCCUGGGUUAUUUGUUCCCGUUAACUUCACAAGAAAAAGUAGAACCAUCAUACUAAGGGAUUGGGGGAAGAUAAGAAAUAUAAGUACAAUCAUGAAAGUGACCAUCUUGAUUACCACGUAAAUCACACACAUUCCAUACAUAAGAUUGAGUUGGGCACAUAACUCGCUCUUAGGAAUAUUUUGAUAAUUUUGCCAUGGGUGAUUUCCUCCACAAUAUGCAUAAGGAGGAUCAAAAGUAGAAUUACCAACAUCAAAACUUUCAUAAUUCCAAGAUGCCAUGUAUCUCAAAUCAAAAAUAAAAUCAAAACAAAAUAAAUAAAAUAAAAGUUCAAACUUGAUACCAAGCAAUAUUUACAGCUACAGCUACACCGUUAGUUCCCCGGCAAUGGCGCCAAAAUUUGAUCACGUCCAACUAUGCCUUAUAAAAAGGACUAAGUGGUAGUUACAAAUAUAAUCCGAUUUACAACUCCGGAGCCGAAUCUUUCAGAAAACUAAGGCUUAGCUAUAGUUGUUCAAUAUUGCUAAGAAACACAAGUUCAAACAAUUUCCUCAUUAUAAAGAUUAUAAUAUUUAUUUCUAACUAAUUAAUUAACAACUAUUAUAAAGCAACAAAAUUAUCACUAACAAGGAUGAAAUUUGAGACAAGACUAAGGAGGUCUAGAGUUAUGAUUUCCCAAUUGUCAGAAUCCUUCCCGCUAUGUUUUCUAUAAUUUCGCCUAAGUAUUCUCUGCCGAUCGUGAAUACUUCGGGUGUUAUAAUUCUCUUCCGAGAAACUACUACAAUUUACUAGACAUAUUCUUCCGAACUACGCUAGCUAGCACUAAUUCACCGCUCACUAAAGUCGCACCAAGGUUUCGUUAUUUCUAAUCCCACUUUUAAACCCUCCGUAUUGAUUCCUCACAUGCGUUAGGAGUGAUGUUGUUCAACAACUACCUAAAUAUGUAUUAUUUUCCAAGUAAUAGAUACUAAAUAGGCACAAUCAAUUGAUGUCAUUCAAUCAACAACAAUAAACCCGUAGUUGAACAAGUAGAGAAAUCCAACGGCUCAAUUAUAUAAAACGCAAUAGAAAAAUCAUACUUCAAAAGGUUUCAUCAAACCCCAUUUGAGAAAGUUUAGCUACUCAUAACCAUACUAACAAUCAUGAUAAUAAUUGAAAGCAUUAAAAUACAGAUUAAGGAAGAACAGAAGAGAAAACUCUUGUGAUUCGUCUUCCAAGUGUUCUCGUAGCUUUCUUGCCUCUCCAAUAAUGUCUCCUCCCUAAGAAAUAGGUUCAAAACCCCUUUUAUACAUGUUGGGGGCAUGUAGGGUCGAAACUACCAAGUCCUAGCUAAAAUGGCAUAAAAUCCGUCCAUAUCCAUCUCGCUUGGCGCCUAGCACCAAUCAGGACGUCGAAAUUUUUCACUAUUCUGCCUUUGGCGUUUUGGUUGGUGCCUGGCACCAACCUUGGGCUCAUACUCCCUCUAAAUUCUUCUGUUUUUAAUUCACUUUGCAUGCAAGCUUGCCAAAUCAAUUCAAAGUGACUCCUACACAUAUAAACAUCAUUAUUAAGCUCGAGUCACAAAUAUUACACCAAAGUUAACAAGAUUGAGGUAUAAUGCACGGCAAAUUACAUGCGAAAACAUGGAUUUUUAGCCUAACAUCAACAAAACUCACCUAGUUGCACAAAACAUUCUUUGCGAAUGCGAUACUCUAGUCGCGAACGCGAUUCACAAUCUCCAGCGACCUAUGCGAACAUGGAGUCUCUUACGCGAAUGCAGAUAACAAAUCUCGUGAUGCCCCUUCCAACUAUCCUUAUAUGGGAUCACGGAACAUAGCAUGCGAACGUGAAAGCAAAAGUCUUCCAAGCUUCGCGUACGUGGUCGCAUCAUCGCGAAUAUGAAGAACAAAUGAAUGCUACCAAAUUAUCUCUAUGCAAACGCGACUCCUUAGUAGCGAUCGCGAUGAAGAACACCAGAUAUCGGCUGACAACAAACCCAAAACAAGGAGAUAUGGACCAUAGCCCAUCCAAAACAUACCCAAGGCCCCAAGGACCCUGUUCAAUAAUACCAACCACUCCCAUAACAAAUGUGGACCUGCUCGGGGCCUCAUAUCACACCAAACAACAUCAAAACUACGGAUCACACUUCAAUUCAAUCCUAAUGAACUAAUGAACUUUCAACUUCCAACACUCACGCCGAGUCAUAUCAAUUCAACUCAGAAUGACCUCAAAUUUUGUAUGCAAGUACCAAAUGACACAACUGACCUAUACCAUCUCACAGAAUCACAAUCCAAACCCGAUAUCAACAAAGUCAAUUCCCGCUUAAACCUUUCAACCUUCCAAACCUUCAACUUUCUAAUUUUCGCCAAAAAACAUCAUAUCAAUCUACAGACCUCCAAAUCUAAAUCCGGACACAUGCCUAAGUCCAAAAUCACCAUAUGAAGCUAAUAGAAUCAUCAAAAUACCAUUUCAGAGUCGUCUUCAAAAAAGUCAAACUCCGGUCAAUUCUUACCACUUAAGUUUCUAAAACAAGGAUCAUUCUUCCAAAUAAAUCCCAAAUCACCCGAAAACUGAAACCGACCAUACACGCAAGUCAGAAUGCAUAAUACGAAGCUACUCAAGACCAUAAACCAUCGAACGGAACUUUAAAGCUCAUAACGAUCAGUCGGGUCAUCACAUUCUCCCCCUCAUAAACAAACGUUCUUCCUCGAACGUGCCAAGAACCGUUCCAAAGUCAUCAAAUCACAAAAUGAACUCACCAUACACAUACUCACGGGUGAUCCCAAGUCACCCCAAUCCACAUAGGCCCGACAACAACAUCUCAACUAAAGAUUAUUCCUUUCAGCCAUAGCGAUAAGCGUUAGAACCAAAUUUCAGCAUUUGAUCAUACCCUAAAGACCCGAUCCCCUCACAUAUACCCUGUAUCAACCUCAACCAGCUAUAACAAACCAUAAGUAUGCUCACACGGUAUAACUAGACGACGGAGAACAUCACUUAUAUGCGCAUAGCAAUAAUUCUGAUCAUAAUAGCUGCCCAAUAAUCAACCUCGUAUCAACUACAACCCUGCUUUAAACCUUCCCAACACUUCCAAUGAUGUAAGAAACAUGUAAAUCUCAUAACCACUCACCCAAUCAACAAGUUACACCCAAUGCCACCUAGGCACAUACCUUGCAAUCUAAACCCCAACAAGCACAACUCGAAUAUAACUGAAUAUGAAAAAAGAAAUGCAUGGGAGAACUAUUGAACAAGUAGAUCAGGUACGACUCCCCAUCGGUAUCAUACUACGAAUCUGUUCCACAAUGGAGAAACAAAACAUAUGAACUAAUCACAAGGAUCUUAUCCUAAUAUGUCACAACCCCAAUUUCCCUCCGUAAGAUGUCAUGAUGACACCUAGUCUCUACGACUAGGUAAGCCUAACAUUCAAUAAUAGCUUGAUAGAAAUAAUUAACAAAAAUACUAAAACAAGUCUAAUAAACACAUAAAAUCUCCCGAAAUAGAAUCUCAACAAAUACUUUCCCAAACUGGUGGAACUGAGUCAUAAGCUCUACAGAGUAAGCUAAAAUGGCUAUUGCAUCACUGUCUGAAUGAAAAUACAACACGAAGUAAAGAUAAAGGAAAAUGGCUUCGAGGCAUGCGACCGUUGAGCAAACAUACCUUGAAGUCUCUGUAAAGGAGCUAAAAGCCGCUUACUAACGUCCGACACGAGCAGAUGUACCUGGAUCUG
Molecule: long non-coding RNA, 5426 nt
Filed under: Nicotiana tabacum (common tobacco)
Lineage: Eukaryota; Viridiplantae; Streptophyta; Magnoliopsida; Solanales; Solanaceae
Description: long non-coding RNA (NTAB_LNC002896)
Source: RNAcentral